AGAGUGAACGCUGGCGGCAGGCCUAACACAUGCAAGUCGAACGGCAGCACAGGAGAGCUUGCUCUCUGGGUGGCGAGUGGCGGACGGGUGAGGAAUACAUCGGAAUCUGCCUAUUUGUGGGGGAUAACGUAGGGAAACUUACGCUAAUACCGCAUACGACCUACGGGUGAAAGCGGAGGACCUUCGGGCUUCGCGCAGAUAGAUGAGCCGAUGUCGGAUUAGCUAGUUGGUGGGGUAAAGGCCCACCAAGGCGACGAUCCGUAGCUGGUCUGAGAGGAUGAUCAGCCACACUGGAACUGAGACACGGUCCAGACUCCUACGGGAGGCAGCAGGUGGGGAAUAUUGGACAAUGGGCGACGAAGCCUGAUCCAGCCCAUCGCCGCGUGAGUGAAGAAGGCCUUAGGUUGUAAACUGUCUUUUGUACGGAACGAAACGGUUCUACUCUAAUAACGAGGGACUAAGUGAACGUACGGUAAG
This 477-nucleotide ribosomal RNA is filed under the name uncultured soil bacterium. Its description in RNAcentral is "bacterial SSU rRNA". It matches the Rfam family "Bacterial small subunit ribosomal RNA", at positions 26 to 488 of the family's 1533-position model. The record is from RNAcentral.